ACGAACGCUGGCGGCGUGCUUAACACAUGCAAGUCGAACGGAAAGGCCUGCUUUCCCUUGUGGAUUGCGGGUACUCGAGUGGCGAACGGGUGAGUAACACGUGAGUGAUCUGCCCCCAACUUGGGUAUAAGCCUGGGAAACUGGGUCUAAUUCCCGAUAGGACUGCAGGGUGGUGCCUGUGGUGGAAAACGAUUUUCUAGUGGUUGGGGAUGAGCUCGCGGCCUAUCAGCUUGUUGGUGGGGUAAUGGCCUACCAAGGCGGCGACGGGUAGCCGGCCUGAGAGGGUGGACGGCCACAUUGGGACUGAGGUACGGCCCAGACUCCUACGGGAGGCAGCAGUGGGGAAUAUUGCACAAUGGGCGGAAGCCUGAUGCAGCGACGCCGCGUGGGGGAUGACGGCCUUCGGGUUGUAAACUCCUUUCGACCGCGAGGAAGCCACCUGGUUGGAAGGGUGGUGACGGUAGUGGUAGAAGAAGCACCGGCUAACUACGUG
This 493-nucleotide ribosomal RNA is filed under the name uncultured bacterium. RNAcentral describes it as "partial 16S ribosomal RNA". It matches the Rfam family "Bacterial small subunit ribosomal RNA", at positions 29 to 507 of the family's 1533-position model. The record is from RNAcentral.